RNAcentral lists this ribosomal RNA (459 nucleotides) under uncultured bacterium. RNAcentral describes it as "partial 16S ribosomal RNA". It matches the Rfam family "Bacterial small subunit ribosomal RNA", at positions 338 to 795 of the family's 1533-position model. The record is from RNAcentral.
CCUACGGGCGGCAGCAGUGAGGAAUAUUGGUCAAUGGCCGUAAGGCUGAACCAGCCAAGUCGCGUGAAGGAAGAAGGAUCUAUGGUUUGUAAACUUCUUUUAUAGGGGACUAAAGGUAUCCACGUGUGUAUAUUUGCAUGUACCCUAUUAAUAAGCAUCGGCUAACUCCGUGCCAGCAGCCGCGGUAAUACGGAGGAUUCGAGCGUUUUUCGGAUUUAUUGGGUUUAAAGGGUGCUUAGUCGGACUGGAAAGUCAGCGGUAAAAUCGAGAGGCUCAACCUCUUUCCGCCGUUGAAACUGUCGGUCUUGAGUGGGCGAGAAGUAUGCGGAAUGCGUGGUGUAGCGGUGAAAUGCAUAGAUAUCACGCAGAACUCCGAUUGCGAAGGCAGCAUACCGGCGCCCAACUGACGCUGAAGCACGAAAGCGUGGGUAUCGAACAGGAUUAGAUACCCCAGUAGUC